AGAGUUUGAUCCUGGCUCAGAUUGAACGCUGGCGGCAUGCUUUACACAUGCAAGUCGAACGGCAGCACGGGUGCUUGCACCUGGUGGCGGGUGGCGAACGGGUGAGUAAUGCACCGGAACGUACCCAGUAAUGGGGGAUAACACAUCGAAAGAUGUGCUAAUACCGCAUACGCCCUGAGGGGGAAAGCGGGGGAUCGUAAGACCUCGCGUUAUUGGAGCGGCCGAUGCCGGAUUAGCUAGUUGGUGAGGUAAGAGCUCACCAAGGCGACGAUCCGUAGCUGGUCUGAGAGGACGACCAGCCACACUGGGACUGAGACACGGCCCAGACUCCUACGGGAGGCAGCAGUGGGGAAUUUUGGACAAUGGGCGCAAGCCUGAUCCAGCCAUGCCGCGUGAGUGAAGAAGGCCUUCGGGUUGUAAAGCUCUUUCGCAAGGAAAGAAAACUUAUCUACUAA
Molecule: ribosomal RNA, 455 nt
Filed under: uncultured bacterium
Lineage: Bacteria
Description: bacterial SSU rRNA
Rfam family: Bacterial small subunit ribosomal RNA
Source: RNAcentral